GUACCCUGGUAGUCCACGCUGUAAACGAUGUCGACUUGGAGGUUGUGCCCUUGAGGCGUGGCUUCCGGAGCUAACGCGUUAAGUCGACCGCCUGGGGAGUACGGCCGCAAGGUUAAAACUCAAAUGAAUUGACGGGGGCCCGCACAAGCGGUGGAGCAUGUGGUUUAAUUCGAUGCAACGCGAAGAACCUUACCUACUCUUGACAUCCACGGAAUUCGCCAGAGAUGGCUUAGUGCCUUCGGGAACCGUGAGACAGGUGCUGCAUGGCUGUCGUCAGCUCGUGUUGUGAAAUGUUGGGUUAAGUCCCGCAACGAGCGCAACCCUUAUCCUUUGUUGCCAGCACGUAAUGGUGGGAACUCAAAGGAGACUGCCGGUGAUAAACCGGAGGAAGGUGGGGAUGACGUCAAGUCAUCAUGGCCCUUACGAGUAGGGCUACACACGUGCUACAAUGGCAUAUACAAAGAGAAGCGAACUCGCGAGAGCAAGCGGACCUCAUAAAGUAUGUCGUAGUCCGGAUUGGAGUCUGCAACUCGACUCCAUGAAGUCGGAAUCGCUAGUAAUCGUAGAUCAGAAUGCUACGGUGAAUACGUUCCCGGGCCUUGUACACACCGCCCGUCACACCAUGGGAGUGGGUUGCAAAAGAAGUAGGUAGCUUAACCUUCUGACCGCG
This 670-nucleotide ribosomal RNA is filed under the name bacterium LB-38. RNAcentral describes it as "bacterial SSU rRNA". It matches the Rfam family "Bacterial small subunit ribosomal RNA", at positions 782 to 1452 of the family's 1533-position model. The record is from RNAcentral.